RNAcentral lists this ribosomal RNA (485 nucleotides) under Salmonella enterica subsp. enterica serovar Enteritidis. RNAcentral describes it as "partial 23S ribosomal RNA". It matches the Rfam family "Bacterial large subunit ribosomal RNA", at positions 139 to 666 of the family's 2925-position model. The record is from RNAcentral. Lineage: Bacteria; Pseudomonadati; Pseudomonadota; Gammaproteobacteria; Enterobacterales; Enterobacteriaceae.
CUCGUCACACUAUCAUUAACUGAAUCCAUAGGUUAAUGAGGCGAACCGGGGGAACUGAAACAUCUAAGUACCCCGAGGAAAAGAAAUCAACCGAGAUUCCCCCAGUAGCGGCGAGCGAACGGGGAGGAGCCCAGAGCCUGAAUCAGCAUGUGUGUUAGUGGAAGCGUCUGGAAAGGCGCGCGAUACAGGGUGACAGCCCCGUACACAAAAGCGCAUGUGCUGUGAGCUCGAUGAGUAGGGCGGGACACGUGGUAUCCUGUCUGAAUAUGGGGGGACCAUCCUCCAAGGCUAAAUACUCCUGACUGACCGAUAGUGAACCAGUACCGUGAGGGAAAGGCGAAAAGAACCCCGGCGAGGGGAGUGAAAAAGAACCUGAAACCGUGUACGUACAAGCAGUGGGAGCACCCUUUGGGUGUGACUGCGUACCUUUUGUAUAAUGGGUCAGCGACUUAUAUUCUGUAGCAAGGUUAACCGAAUAGGGGAGC